RNAcentral lists this ribosomal RNA (2774 nucleotides) under Escherichia coli. Its description in RNAcentral is "bacterial LSU rRNA". It matches the Rfam family "Bacterial large subunit ribosomal RNA". The record is from RNAcentral. Lineage: Bacteria; Pseudomonadati; Pseudomonadota; Gammaproteobacteria; Enterobacterales; Enterobacteriaceae.
AGCGUACACGGUGGAUGCCCUGGCAGUCAGAGGCGAUGAAGGACGUGCUAAUCUGCGAUAAGCGUCGGUAAGGUGAUAUGAACCGUUAUAACCGGCGAUUUCCGAAUGGGGAAACCCAGUGUGAUUCGUCACACUAUCAUUAACUGAAUCCAUAGGUUAAUGAGGCGAACCGGGGGAACUGAAACAUCUAAGUACCCCGAGGAAAAGAAAUCAACCGAGAUUCCCCCAGUAGCGGCGAGCGAACGGGGAGCAGCCCAGAGCCUGAAUCAGUGUGUGUGUUAGUGGAAGCGUCUGGAAAGGCGCGCGAUACAGGGUGACAGCCCCGUACACAAAAAUGCACAUGCUGUGAGCUCGAUGAGUAGGGCGGGACACGUGGUAUCCUGUCUGAAUAUGGGGGGACCAUCCUCCAAGGCUAAAUACUCCUGACUGACCGAUAGUGAACCAGUACCGUGAGGGAAAGGCGAAAAGAACCCCGGCGAGGGGAGUGAAAAAGAACCUGAAACCGUGUACGUACAAGCAGUGGGAGCCUCUUUAUGGGGUGACUGCGUACCUUUUGUAUAAUGGGUCAGCGACUUAUAUUCUGUAGCAAGGUUAACCGAAUAGGGGAGCCGAAGGGAAACCGAGUCUUAACUGGGCGUUAAGUUGCAGGGUAUAGACCCGAAACCCGGUGAUCUAGCCAUGGGCAGGUUGAAGGUUGGGUAACACUAACUGGAGGACCGAACCGACUAAUGUUGAAAAAUUAGCGGAUGACUUGUGGCUGGGGGUGAAAGGCCAAUCAAACCGGGAGAUAGCUGGUUCUCCCCGAAAGCUAUUUAGGUAGCGCCUCGUGAAUUCAUCUCCGGGGGUAGAGCACUGUUUCGGCAAGGGGGUCAUCCCGACUUACCAACCCGAUGCAAACUGCGAAUACCGGAGAAUGUUAUCACGGGAGACACACGGCGGGUGCUAACGUCCGUCGUGAAGAGGGAAACAACCCAGACCGCCAGCUAAGGUCCCAAAGUCAUGGUUAAGUGGGAAACGAUGUGGGAAGGCCCAGACAGCCAGGAUGUUGGCUUAGAAGCAGCCAUCAUUUAAAGAAAGCGUAAUAGCUCACUGGUCGAGUCGGCCUGCGCGGAAGAUGUAACGGGGCUAAACCAUGCACCGAAGCUGCGGCAGCGACGCUUAUGCGUUGUUGGGUAGGGGAGCGUUCUGUAAGCCUGUGAAGGUGUGCUGUGAGGCAUGCUGGAGGUAUCAGAAGUGCGAAUGCUGACAUAAGUAACGAUAAAGCGGGUGAAAAGCCCGCUCGCCGGAAGACCAAGGGUUCCUGUCCAACGUUAAUCGGGGCAGGGUGAGUCGACCCCUAAGGCGAGGCCGAAAGGCGUAGUCGAUGGGAAACAGGUUAAUAUUCCUGUACUUGGUGUUACUGCGAAGGGGGGACGGAGAAGGCUAUGUUGGCCGGGCGACGGUUGUCCCGGUUUAAGCGUGUAGGCUGGUUUUCCAGGCAAAUCCGGAAAAUCAAGGCUGAGGCGUGAUGACGAGGCACUACGGUGCUGAAGCAACAAAUGCCCUGCUUCCAGGAAAAGCCUCUAAGCAUCAGGUAACAUCAAAUCGUACCCCAAACCGACACAGGUGGUCAGGUAGAGAAUACCAAGGCGCUUGAGAGAACUCGGGUGAAGGAACUAGGCAAAAUGGUGCCGUAACUUCGGGAGAAGGCACGCUGAUAUGUAGGUGAGGUCCCUCGCGGAUGGAGCUGAAAUCAGUCGAAGAUACCAGCUGGCUGCAACUGUUUAUUAAAAACACAGCACUGUGCAAACACGAAAGUGGACGUAUACGGUGUGACGCCUGCCCGGUGCCGGAAGGUUAAUUGAUGGGGUUAGCGGUAACGCGAAGCUCUUGAUCGAAGCCCCGGUAAACGGCGGCCGUAACUAUAACGGUCCUAAGGUAGCGAAAUUCCUUGUCGGGUAAGUUCCGACCUGCACGAAUGGCGUAAUGAUGGCCAGGCUGUCUCCACCCGAGACUCAGUGAAAUUGAACUCGCUGUGAAGAUGCAGUGUACCCGCGGCAAGACGGAAAGACCCCGUGAACCUUUACUAUAGCUUGACACUGAACAUUGAGCCUUGAUGUGUAGGAUAGGUGGGAGGCUUUGAAGUGUGGACGCCAGUCUGCAUGGAGCCGACCUUGAAAUACCACCCUUUAAUGUUUGAUGUUCUAACGUUGACCCGUAAUCCGGGUUGCGGACAGUGUCUGGUGGGUAGUUUGACUGGGGCGGUCUCCUCCUAAAGAGUAACGGAGGAGCACGAAGGUUGGCUAAUCCUGGUCGGACAUCAGGAGGUUAGUGCAAUGGCAUAAGCCAGCUUGACUGCGAGCGUGACGGCGCGAGCAGGUGCGAAAGCAGGUCAUAGUGAUCCGGUGGUUCUGAAUGGAAGGGCCAUCGCUCAACGGAUAAAAGGUACUCCGGGGAUAACAGGCUGAUACCGCCCAAGAGUUCAUAUCGACGGCGGUGUUUGGCACCUCGAUGUCGGCUCAUCACAUCCUGGGGCUGAAGUAGGUCCCAAGGGUAUGGCUGUUCGCCAUUUAAAGUGGUACGCGAGCUGGGUUUAGAACGUCGUGAGACAGUUCGGUCCCUAUCUGCCGUGGGCGCUGGAGAACUGAGGGGGGCUGCUCCUAGUACGAGAGGACCGGAGUGGACGCAUCACUGGUGUUCGGGUUGUCAUGCCAAUGGCACUGCCCGGUAGCUAAAUGCGGAAGAGAUAAGUGCUGAAAGCAUCUAAGCACGAAACUUGCCCCGAGAUGAGUUCU